GACGAACGCUGGCGGCGUGCCUAAUACAUGCAAGUCGAACGCUUUUUCUUUCACCGGAGCUUGCUCCAUCGAAAGAAAAAGAGUGGCGAACGGGUGAGUAACACGUGGGUAACCUGCCCAUCAGAAGGGGAUAACACUUGGAAACAGGUGCUAAUACCGUAUAACACUAUUUUCCGCAUGGAAGAGAGUUGAAAGGCGCUUUUGCGUCACUGAUGGAUGGACCCGCGGUGCGUUAGCUAGUCGGUGAGGUAACGGCUCACCAAGGCAACGAUGCAUAGCCGACCUGGGAGGGUGAUCGGCCACACUGGGACUGAGACACGGCCCAGACUCCUACGGGAGGCAGCAGUAGGGAAUCUUCGGCAAUGGACGAAAGUCUGACCGAGCAACGCCGCGUGAGUGAAGAAGGUUCCCGGAUCGUAAAACUCUGUUGUUAGAGAAGAACAAGGAUGAGAGUAAAAUGUUCAUCCCUUGACGGUAUCUAACCAGAAAGCCACGGCUAACUACGUGCCAGCCGCCGCCGUAA
Molecule: ribosomal RNA, 523 nt
Filed under: uncultured bacterium
Lineage: Bacteria
Description: partial 16S ribosomal RNA
Rfam family: Bacterial small subunit ribosomal RNA
Source: RNAcentral